GACGAACGCUGGCGGCGUGCUUAACACAUGCAAGUCGAACGGAAAGGCCCUGCUUUUGUGGGGUGCUCGAGUGGCGAACGGGUGAGUAACACGUGAGUAACCUGCCCCUGACUUUGGGAUAACUUCAGGAAACUGGGGCUAAUAUCGGAUAGGAGCUCCUGCUGCACGGUGGGGGUUGGAAAGUUUCGGCGGUUGGGGAUGGACUCGCGGCUUAUCAGCUUGUUGGUGAGGUAGUUGCUUACCAAGGCUUUGACGGGUAGCCGGCCUGAGAGGGUGACCGGCCACAUUGGGACUGAGAUACGGCCCAGACUCCUACGGGAGGCAGCAGUGGGGAAUAUUGCACAAUGGGCGGAAGCCUGAUGCAGCAACGCCGCGUGCGGGAUGACGGCCUUCGGGUUGUAAACCGCUUUCGCCUGUGACGAAGCGUGAGUGACGGUAAUGGGUAAAGAAGCACCGGCUAACUACGUG
Molecule: ribosomal RNA, 468 nt
Filed under: uncultured bacterium
Lineage: Bacteria
Description: partial 16S ribosomal RNA
Rfam family: Bacterial small subunit ribosomal RNA
Source: RNAcentral